RNAcentral lists this ribosomal RNA (460 nucleotides) under uncultured bacterium. RNAcentral's name for it is "partial 16S ribosomal RNA". It matches the Rfam family "Bacterial small subunit ribosomal RNA", at positions 338 to 795 of the family's 1533-position model. The record is from RNAcentral.
CCUACGGGCGGCAGCAGUGAGGAAUAUUGGUCAAUGGGCGCAAGCCUGAACCAGCCAAGUCGCGUGAGGGAUGACGGUCCUAUGGAUUGUAAACCUCUUUUGCCGGGGAGCAAGGCACGCCACGUGUGGCGGGAAGGAGAGUACCCGACGAAAAAGCAUCGGCUAACUCCGUGCCAGCAGCCGCGGUAAUACGGAGGAUGCGAGCGUUAUCCGGAUUUAUUGGGUUUAAAGGGUGCGUAGGCGGAAGGUUAAGUCAGCGGUCAAAUGUCGGUGCUCAACACCGGCCUGCCGUUGAAACUGGUCGUCUUGAGUGAGCGAGAAGUAUGCGGAAUGCGUGGUGUAGCGGUGAAAUGCAUAGAUAUCACGCAGAACUCCGAUUGCGAAGGCAGCAUACCGGCGCUCAACUGACGCUGAGGCACGAAAGCGUGGGGAUCGAACAGGAUUAGAUACCCCAGUAGUC